GCCAGCCCGCUCAGAAACUUAAAGAAUUGACGGGGCCGCACAAGCGGAGGAACAUGUGGUUUAAUUCGAUGAUACGCGAGGAACCUUACCUGGGCUCAAAUGUAUGUUGACGUAUUCUGAAAGGGAUACUUCUUCGGACAAUAUACAAGGUGCUGCAUGGUUGUCGUCAGCUCGUGCCGUGAGGUGUCGGGUUAAGUCCCAUAACGAGCGCAACCCCUACCUUUAGUUGCCAUCAGGUUAAGCUGGGGACUCUAAAGGAACUGCCUACGCAAGUAGUGAGGAAGGCGGGGAUGACGUCAAAUCAGCACGGCCCUUACGUCCAGGGCUACACACGUGCUACAAUGGCCGAUACAGAGGGCAGCUACCUGGUGACAGGAUGCAAAUCUCCAAAGUCGGUCUCAGUUCGGAUCGGAGUCUGCAACCCGACUCCGUGAAGUUGGAUUCGCUAGUAAUCGCGCAUCAGCCAUGGCGCGGUGAAUACGUUCCCGGGCCUU
This 494-nucleotide ribosomal RNA is filed under the name uncultured Sphingobacteriales bacterium. RNAcentral's name for it is "bacterial SSU rRNA". It matches the Rfam family "Bacterial small subunit ribosomal RNA", at positions 904 to 1382 of the family's 1533-position model. Lineage: Bacteria; Pseudomonadati; Bacteroidota; Sphingobacteriia; Sphingobacteriales. The record is from RNAcentral.